AAUCAUAUUAAAGUAUUAACGUUGUCAUUUGCAAGAGUAGAACUUAAAAUUCUAUUUACAAUCCUCGUUGAUUAGACAAAAUUAGUUGAGUGAUUGAAGGAUUAACAGACUUUAACAAAAUAAGAAAACCUCUUGUACUAGACUAUUUCCUUUUCGAUACAUCAGCAACGCAAACCCUCCAAACAAUUGAGGUCAACCUGUCUAGCAGAUUAGUAAAACUAGAGAGAAAACAAGAACUUCCUACAUGUAGAGCAUUUCACAGUAUGGAAUUGAACCAAAUUAGUAACAGUUGAAAGAAAAAAAAAAAAAACUAAUGAAAAUGACUUGAAAACUUUGAGUUUUAAUGAUAAGGAUAAAAUAAAGGGUAAAGUGAAUAGUACCAAGAUUGACUUUUUAGUGUAAAAAUGUGGUUUUUCGUUAAAGUGAACAGUACCGGGUGCUUUUCGUUAAAAUUCCCAAAAAAAAAAGCGCAAAAAUAUUGAGCCAUUGUAACCAAACAGACACUAUCAAGCACGUAAAUCACAAUGCUGCAAAUGAAAUAUUCCCUAUUUGGCUGCUAGGAAAAUUAGAGGAGAUUGUACAUUCGAAACGAAAAUUGCAAGCAUUGUUAGUGCAGUUUAUUAAACUAAACAUGGCAAAUACCAAAAAUAUAUAUAACAAUAUUUGAGAAUUUCAUAUAUAUUCAUUAAUUUCCAAAGUGGAGUAUAUAUAGGAGUUACAAUUAGU
RNAcentral lists this long non-coding RNA (726 nucleotides) under Malus domestica (apple). RNAcentral describes it as "long non-coding RNA (MDOM_LNC016195)". The record is from RNAcentral. Lineage: Eukaryota; Viridiplantae; Streptophyta; Magnoliopsida; Rosales; Rosaceae.